This 401-nucleotide ribosomal RNA is filed under the name uncultured Pichia. RNAcentral's name for it is "SSU rRNA". It matches the Rfam family "Eukaryotic small subunit ribosomal RNA", at positions 555 to 962 of the family's 1831-position model. The record is from RNAcentral. Lineage: Eukaryota; Fungi; Ascomycota; Saccharomycetes; Saccharomycetales; Saccharomycetaceae.
GCAAGUCUGGUGCCAGCAGCCGCGGUAAUUCCAGCUCCAAUAGCGUAUAUUAAAGUCGUUGCAGUUAAAAAGCUCGUAGUUGAACCUUGGGCUUGGCUGGCCGGUCCGCCUUUUUGGCGAGUACUGGAUCCAACCGAGCCUUUCCUUCUGGCUAACCAUUUGCCCCUGUGGUGGAUGGCGAACCAGGAUUUUUACUUUGAGAAAAUUAGAGUGUUCAAAGCAGGCCUUUGCUCGAAUAUAUUAGCAUGGAAUAAUAGAAUAGGACGUUAUGGUUCUAUUUUGUUGGUUUCUAGGACCAUCGUAAUGAUUAAUAGGAACGGUCGGGGGCAUCAGUAUUCAGUUGUCAGAGGUGAAAUUCUUGGAUUAACUGAAGACUAACUACUGCGAAAGCAUUUGCCAAA